AAUCCAGGUCUCCUGCCCCCUCUUCCUUUCAAUGACUCACACUCCAAUGAAUGAGACGUGUGGGGAACCCGAAGGGUGUUGAGCUCCGCAGACGAACUAGACAGUACUGGGGGCGGCUCCAGGACGCCAGGCUCUGAAGACUGGGAGAGGCUCGGGGGUUGUUGGCCCUCCAGGCUCCAGCUCAGCCUGGCAGGGGGGGUCACUGUCAACCGCAAGGAGCAGACACAGGCGUUGGCCCUUCGGGUUUGAUAGUGUGGAGCUAUUAUCCUCCAGAUGAGAGAAGAAUAAGGGAGAGAAAGCCGCGGAAAGAUUCUGGAGCCGACUGCCUGGAUUUGAAGCCAGAUGUUCAAGUUUGAACAAUAUGCACAUCGUGUUGUAGGAGAUCUUCAUCAUCCCGCAGAGAGACCGAGUGCGUGUCCCUGGAGGAGCGUACGGGAUGUGAGCUGCAAAUACCAGGGUCUGUCAUGUGCAGGAGGGCUUGUGUGUCCCGGUGCCCUGUGCUUGCUCCUACCCGCUGGAUGGAUGGAAUCACUCAGGCCCACUCUACAUCUUCUGGUUCCUGGAAGGGGCCAACCUACAACAGGAUCUUCCGGUAGAUACGAACAAACCAGGUCAAAAGCUACAAAAGAGGACCUGGGGUCACUUCCUUAUUGUCGGGGAUCCCCAGACCAGCAAGUCUUCCCUGAACCUCAGACACGCCAGGAAGAAAGGUGGCAGGGUAUACUUACCCUGUAAUUGGAGAGAGACUCUUAAGUUCUCCUGGAUAUGGGACACCCUUAUCUCCUUGAGCCCUGAAACAGGUCCCUUGUCAGAGGUCACCAUCAUUUUACAGCCCUGGUACCACGCCACCACUGUCACCUGCCAGGUAACCUUACUGGGGUUCCUUGUGACCACAGAAAUAACCAUCCAGCUCAAUGUCUCACGUGAGUGCUGGGCCAGGACUCCUGGGUUGUUGCGGGCAGUGGCUGUGUUGUGACCGGAAUAACCAGACUCAACCUGAGUGCUUUGAUUAUAGAGGCAGUUUAUUAGCUCCUUCCAAAAGGAGCAGCCCCGAAAUGCCAAGAUACAAGGUUUUGAAGCCCUAAAUCCCAUCCCUCAUUCUGUCUUAAACACAAAGGUCCAUCUUUCUCCUAAGUGUCGUAUAUAUGCUGUCCUGAAUCUUUUUCAAAUUAACAAUAAUUCUUGGGAAUCUUGCUGUGUUAAUAAAGAACUUCAUCCUUUGUUUUUUACAACUGCAAAGCAGUCCACUGUGUCGUAAUGUCUUUAAAUAAUCAUGUGCCCAUGGAAAAAAUAUCUUCUACUUAUAAACACCAGUGCGAUGAAUAACGUUCACCUAUUUUGUAAGGAUGCCAAAAUAUCUAUGAUUUUGAAUUCCUCAGUCAGAGGGCACAUGCAUGACCAAUUGUGAUAGAUAGGGCCAAAUGGCUUUCCAAGAGGUCGUAUAAGCACAAAACAGAUAAAAUAAUAAAACGCUAAUGACCGCC
Pteropus alecto (black flying fox) is the source of this 1484-nucleotide long non-coding RNA. RefSeq lists it as uncharacterized. The transcript is spliced from 3 exons. The record is from RefSeq and is a predicted model, not a curated record. NCBI's taxonomy places the organism in Eukaryota, Metazoa, Chordata, Mammalia, Chiroptera, Pteropodidae.